GACGAACGCUGGCGGCGUGCUUAACACAUGCAAGUCGAACGAGACCCCGUCUUCGGGUGGGUGUUCUAGUGGCGAACGGGUGAGUAACACGUGGGCAACCUGCCCCCGGCUCUGGGAUAGCUCCAAGAAAUUGGAGCUAAUACCGGAUAUUUCCGCUGACCGCAUGGUCUGGUGGUGGAAAGGGUUUCCGGCUGGGGAAUGGGCCCGCGGCCUAUCAGCUUGUUGGUGGGGUAGUGGCCUACCAAGGCGACGACGGGUAGCCGGCCUGAGAGGGUGACCGGCCACACUGGGACUGAGACACGGCCCAGACUCCUACGGGAGGCAGCAGUGGGGAAUAUUGCGCAAUGGGCGGAAGCCUGACGCAGCGACGCCGCGU
RNAcentral lists this ribosomal RNA (376 nucleotides) under uncultured bacterium. Its description in RNAcentral is "bacterial SSU rRNA". It matches the Rfam family "Bacterial small subunit ribosomal RNA", at positions 28 to 402 of the family's 1533-position model. The record is from RNAcentral.